AUUGAACGCUGGCGGAAUGCUUUACACAUGCAAGUCGAACGGCAGCGGGGGCUUCGGCCUGCCGGCGAGUGGCGAACGGGUGAGUAAUGCAUCGGAACGUGCCCAUGUCGUGGGGGAUAACGUAUCGAAAGCUGUGCUAAUACCGCAUACGCCCUGAGGGGGAAAGCGGGGGGACCGUAAGGCCUCGCGCGAUUAGAGCGGCCGAUAUCUGAUUAGCUUGUUGGUGGGGUAAAAGCCCACCAAGGCGACGAUCAGUAGCUGGUCUGAGAGGACGAUCAGCCACACUGGGACUGAGACACGGCCCAGACUCCUACGGGAGGCAGCAGUGGGGAAUUUUGGACAAUGGGGGCAACCCUGAUCCAGCAAUGCCGCGUGAGUGAAGAAGGCCUUCGGUGUAAGCUCUUUGUCAGGGAGAAACAGCAGCUCUAACACAGUCUGCGAAUGACGGUACCUGAAGAAUAAAGCACCGGCUAACUACGUGCCAGCA
This 487-nucleotide ribosomal RNA is filed under the name uncultured bacterium. RNAcentral describes it as "bacterial SSU rRNA". It matches the Rfam family "Bacterial small subunit ribosomal RNA", at positions 29 to 513 of the family's 1533-position model. The record is from RNAcentral.